RNAcentral lists this ribosomal RNA (795 nucleotides) under uncultured bacterium. RNAcentral describes it as "bacterial SSU rRNA". It matches the Rfam family "Bacterial small subunit ribosomal RNA", at positions 8 to 798 of the family's 1533-position model. The record is from RNAcentral.
AGAGUUUGAUCCUGGCUCAGAUUGAACGCUGGCGGCAGGCCUAACACAUGCAAGUCGAGCGGAUGAAGGGAGCUUGCUCCUGGAUUCAGCGGCGGACGGGUGAGUAAUGCCUAGGAAUCUGCCUGGUAGUGGGGGAUAACGUCCGGAAGCGGGCGCUAAUACCGCAUACGUCCUGAGGGAGAAAGUGGGGGAUCUUCGGACCUCACGCUAUCAGAUGAGCCUAGGUCGGAUUAGCUAGUUGGUGGGGUAAAGGCCUACCAAGGCGACGAUCCGUAACUGGUCUGAGAGGAUGAUCAGUCACACUGGAACUGAGACACGGUCCAGACUCCUACGGGAGGCAGCAGUGGGGAAUAUUGGACAAUGGGCGAAAGCCUGAUCCAGCCAUGCCGCGUGUGUGAAGAAGGUCUUCGGAUUGUAAAGCACUUUAAGUUGGGAGGAAGGGCAGUAAGUUAAUACCUUGCUGUUUUGACGUUACCAACAGAAUAAGCACCGGCUAACUUCGCGCCAGCAGCCGCGGUAAUACGAAGGGUGCAAGCGUUAAUCGGAAUUACUGGGCGUAAAGCGCGCGUAGGUGGUUCAGCAAGUUGGAUGUGAAAUCCCCGGGCUCAACCUGGGAACUGCAUCCAAAACUACUGAGCUAGAGUACGGUAGAGGGUGGUGGAAUUUCCUGUGUAGCGGUGAAAUGCGUAGAUAUAGGAAGGAACACCAGUGGCGAAGGCGACCACCUGGACUGAUACUGACACUGAGGUGCGAAAGCGUGGGGAGCAAACAGGAUUAGAUACCCUGGUAGUCCAA